Melanotaenia boesemani (Boeseman's rainbowfish) is the source of this 897-nucleotide long non-coding RNA. RefSeq lists it as uncharacterized. Lineage: Eukaryota; Metazoa; Chordata; Actinopteri; Atheriniformes; Melanotaeniidae. The record is from RefSeq and is a predicted model, not a curated record. The transcript is spliced from 4 exons.
CAUAAUUCUAUUAAUUUAAGAAUAUUAUAUUCUGUUAUUUACGAAGAUAUUUGUUCUUUCAGAUAGUACAAUAUGAGUUUGUUCAUGUCGUUACUUUAUUCGGUAAACGAGUUCUGUUGCACAGUUGAACUUAACCGAGUUUUUUUUUUUUUUUUUUUUUUUUAAACCACAUCUAAGCGUGCUCCGUUAGCCCGGCAUGUGUUCCAACCAUAGACUGUAAAAAGUAGUCCCUACAGUUGUUUUGACGGUGGCUAACUUCUUUCUAGGAGGCGUUUUCUUCCGUAUAUUUUUCCUUGAAUGUAUAGGCGUAUUCGUGAGCUUUGGUAAGCUGAUGUAGUUUUCUUGCUAACAUUUGUGAGAAUGCUAACGUUAAUGGCGUUGCGAUAACAUGCCACCUACUUUUUUCUUAAUUUCUUUUUCCUAGUUUCUUUGGGUAGACACUCUAUUCAGGCAAUUGCGUGCAAUUCUUUUGAGAUAAUGUGGGGGAAACGCGAGGACUCGAUGUCAAAGCCAACAUGUUAAUAAAAGCACAACUUGGAGGAAAAAAGAAAUAUCUGAAACUGGAAGAAGUUAGCUUCGCAGAGUUUAUCACUGCAGUCCAGCAGAAGUUUCUGAUACCAGAGACUACACCACUGAGGGUCACAGAUGACCAGGGUGUGGAAGUUGAUGAGGAUGUUUUUCCAGACCUUGCAACAGCCAAAGAAAUAUGCUUUUUCAUCUACACUGAUCAAGACCUUCCAGUUGCUGAAGCAUCCAUGAUCUCUACUGAGUGUUCAGACCUGACUGAGUAUGUGACCCUCACUACUUGUGGUAAGUAGAGCUAAUGUAAAUGUCAGGUUUUGACUUGAAAUAAUAAAUAUCUAUUCUGGCAUGUGUUACACUUGUUUUAGCUGAUUG